Non-coding RNA from Delphinapterus leucas (beluga whale), 407 nucleotides. NCBI's taxonomy places the organism in Eukaryota, Metazoa, Chordata, Mammalia, Artiodactyla, Monodontidae. The record is from the annotation of a RefSeq genome assembly.
GAGGCAGAACUCAGGGCGUCCACACCAUGGCCUGGACCCCUCUCCUGUUCCCCCUCUUCAUCCUCUGCACAGGCUCUGUGGCCUCCUAUGAGCUGACCCAGCCGCCUUUAGUGUCCGUGGCCUUGGGACAGACGUCCAAGAUCACCUGCUCUGGAGACCUACUGGACAAAAAAUAUACAUCUUGGUACCAGCAGAAGCCAGGCCAGGCCCCUGUGCUGGUCAUUUAUAAGGAUAGCAACCUGGCCUCAGGGAUCCCUGACCGAUUCUCUGGUUCCAGCUCAGGCAAAAUUGCCACCCUGACCAUCAGCAGGGCCCAGGCCGAGGACGAGGCUGACUAUUACUGUAGGUCAGCUGACAGCAGUGAUUAUCUUCACAGUGACACAGGCAGACGGGGAAGAGGACUAUGA